CACGGGGCUGCCCGCCGCCGCCAGCCCGUUGGCCAGAGGCCGCCGCCGCUCGAAGUACAGCCCCAGCAUGAUGAGCGACGGCUGGAAGUUGAGGGCCAGGCCCAGGCCUGCGGGCGAGGCGGUGCUGUGCCGGGGUCCCCGGAGAGCCCCUCCCUGGCCCCCACAGGAGGGAGGGGCCAGGCCCGGGAACCCAGCAGAUCCGGGAACCCAGCCGAGGGACUUCGAAGACUGUCCCUCAUAGGGAAACCGAGGACAGAUCUUGCAGCAAGAACCCCCGACCCCCAACCCAGCGGAGAGGAGACCAGGGGGCCCUCACCUGUGAGCACCCCAGCGGUCAGGUAGAGCUCCAGGAGGCGCGUGGCAAAGGAAGCUAGGAUCAUGCCCGCGGAAGCCAGCAGCCCACCCGCCAGCAUCACCGGGCGACAGCCAAAGCGGGUCACGAGGAUGCUGGACACGGGGCCUGUGGGCAGGGCAGGGUCACCACCCGGGUCCCGGGAUGGCUUGAGUCCUCUAAGGAAUAAGGUCACCUCCGGCUCAGGGACACAGAGAGGAGGGCAGUGUCUGGCCAAGGUCACACAGCUUGGAGGGGACAGGCCAAAGAGACAGCAUCCUGCGAGGGCAAGGCCCAGAGCACCCCAUCCUGCGAACCCAAACCCCAAGCGGAGCGGGGGCUUCCGCACCCCUUUAACCUUCACAGCCUCCAAGUCCCGCCCUGGCACAGACUGGGAUUCCUCCGCAGCCCCGCCUCCCAGGAUGGGAACUCCAGCAAGCCCCCACCUACAGGGCGCUGAAGGACGAGGGGAGGACGACGGGUCCCACCUGACUCUGCACCUCUGCAGGCUCCCUCUGAAGGACAACUGCUGGCCCCUCAGGGCCUCAGGUGGAAGGCGUCGGGAAGUGGAGCAGAUAGGGUCUCACAGUGUUGCUCAAGCUGAUGUUGAACUGUUGGAAUCAAGAGAUCCUCCUGCCCCAGUCUCCCUAGUAGCUGGGACUACAAGUGUGUGCCGCCGCACCUGCCACCCUCCUCACUGUUUGGGCCCCCAUGUGAGGACUCACCUCGGGAAGAGCUCCUGUGGCUAUGUGAGUCAAGGAUGGAACGAUGGUCCCAGAACAUCCCAGGAGGGUGUGACAGCCUCCAUCUAGAAGGUUCUAUCCUCAGGUCCCCAAGGCAUCUGCAGCACACCGUCCUCUGCUGUGGGUCUGUGAAGCAGCCACUCCAGCAGCAGGUGUCCCUAUCGUUGGCGUUCUCAGUCAUCUCUCUCCCCACUGACCCCCUUCCGUUCCUGUCCCUGUGGUCACCCGCCCAGCUAUGGACCUUCGCGCCUAACUAUGAGUCCCUCCAUACAUCACCUAUCCCCCACUCACCUGUCUAUACUCCAUCCCCCGUGUAGCCACGAAUCCAUCCAGCACCCCCUCACCACUCACACCUCUCCAAUCACCCAUCAGUGUCUGUCCACCACAUCUGCGCAUCCUCCCAUGUCCCUAACCACCCAGUCAGUGACCCCCCCCCCGCCAUUUAAGGCCAUCCACUUGCACACACAGACCUCCACCUACCCAGACGCACAUCCCCUGGUCCACCCAUUCGCCUGUCCACCAUCCAUUAAGCACAGGACCACUCAUCCAUCCGUGGGCUGGUGUGGGCAGCCACCACCCGCUCUGCCCAUGCACGCAUUCAUCCUGCGCUGCUUCUCUCCUGCAGCAGGAGUGGGCACCGUACACUACCCUGCCCAUGAAGCCCCGAGGGGGCACUGCCUGGCUCCAGCCAGCCCCAUCUGCCCCGUUUUCCCCUGCAGGACAGUGGUGCCUGUCCAUUCCCUCUGCUAGCUGCCAGCCCUGCUGUCCUCCGCACUUUCUGGCAACCUCACUGUAUGAAACUCCCCAAAUCCUCCUCCACGUCAAGUGUCAAAACAGCCCAGUUUAAGUGCUUUCAGGAUUUCCACGGAGCCUGACCGCAAAGAGGUGAGCACAUUUAAGCCCCUACUCCCAGCCCAGCCCCCUGCAUCAGAGUUCCAGGGCUGACUCUGCAGAGGGGAAGCAGCCUCCUCCCAGAGGCAGGCACACAGUAGGUGCUCAAGCAAUAGGAUUUCUGCCAUUUCCACACUUUUGGAAGAACCUGCCCAUCCCCCAUCCUCUGCCCGCUCUCAAGGACCGUCAUCCUGAACUUGGUAAGGCGGCUCUUCCUACUCCCACUGAAUGAAUGAGGAAACUGAGGCAGGGUGCGGGGGUCGGGAGGAGAGGAGCAUUGUCCGAGGCCCCCGGGGGAGGCCAGGGAAACCUCAGUCCGGCAGGUCCCCGGGUUCCCGGCCCCCAGGGCCUUCUUCUCAACCCACCCCCGGCCCCUCCAAGGCUCCCACUCACGCGGACGAGCCCUCCAGCUUGCCGUAGAGCCAGCCGUUCUGGGCCUCGGGCACCAACACCUCCACCACGUCCCCAGCGGAGAAGCGCAGCAGCGUGUGGUUGGCGCCCUCCGAGUGGGAGACCAGGGCGCGGACUCUCCUGGCGCCCCCGCCGCCGCCCGGGCGCUCGCCAAAGGAGUUGGAGCGCGAGCUUUGGGCGCUGCCGCUGUAGAGCGAGGCUGUGGGCGGGAGAGCGCGGCGGCACGUGGGCAGGAAGUUCUUCCUGGCGUCUGCCCUCGAUCCCUCCUGCUGCAGCCCCACCCC
This 2660-nucleotide long non-coding RNA is filed under the name Homo sapiens (human). RNAcentral's name for it is "long non-coding RNA NONHSAT086658.2". The record is from RNAcentral. Lineage: Eukaryota; Metazoa; Chordata; Mammalia; Primates; Hominidae.